RNAcentral lists this ribosomal RNA (503 nucleotides) under uncultured bacterium. Its description in RNAcentral is "partial 16S ribosomal RNA". It matches the Rfam family "Bacterial small subunit ribosomal RNA", at positions 30 to 523 of the family's 1533-position model. The record is from RNAcentral.
AUUGAACGCUGGCGGCAGGCUUAACACAUGCAAGUCGAGCGGGGUGAUGGUGCUUGCACUAUCACUCAGCGGCGGACGGGUGAGUAAUGCUUAGGAAUCUGCCUAUUAGUGGGGGACAACAUCUCGAAAGGGAUGCUAAUACCGCAUACGUCCUACGGGAGAAAGCAGGGGAUCACUUGUGACCUUGCGCUAAUAGAUGAGCCUAAGUCGGAUUAGCUAGCUGGUGGGGUAAAGGCCUACCAAGGCGACGAUCUGUAGCGGGUCUGAGAGGAUGAUCCGCCACACUGGGACUGAGACACGGCCCAGACGCCUACGGGAGGCAGCAGUGGGGAAUAUUGGACAAUGGGGGGAACCCUGAUCCAGCCAUGCCGCGUGUGUGAAGAAGGCCUUAUGGUUGUAAAGCACUUUAAGCGAGGAGGAGGCUCUUUUGGUUAAUACCCAAGAUGAGUGGACGUUACUCGCAGAAUAAGCACCGGCUAACUCUGUGCCAGCCGCCGCAGUAA